RNAcentral lists this ribosomal RNA (406 nucleotides) under uncultured bacterium. Its description in RNAcentral is "partial 16S ribosomal RNA". It matches the Rfam family "Bacterial small subunit ribosomal RNA", at positions 30 to 526 of the family's 1533-position model. The record is from RNAcentral.
AUUGAACGCUGGCGGCAGGCCUAACACAUGCAAGUCGAACGAGUGGCGGACGGGUGAGUAAUGUCUGGGAAACUGCCUGAUGGAGGGGGAUAACUACUGGAAACGGUAGCUAAUACCGCAUACCAUCAGAUGUGCCCAUAUGGGCUUAGCUAGUUGGGGGGGUAACGGCUCACCAAGGCGACGAUCCCUAGCUGGUCUGAGAGGAUUACCAGCCACACUGGAACUGAGACACGGGCCAGACGCCUACGGGAGGCAGCAGUGGGGAAUAUUGGACAAUGGGCUCAAGCUUGAUUCAGCCAUGCCGCGUGGAUGAAGAAGGCCUUCGGGUUGUAAAGUACUUUCAGCGGGGAGGCGUUACCCGCAGAAGAAGCACCGGCUAACUCCGUGCCAGCAGCCGCGGUAAUAC